Molecule: ribosomal RNA, 496 nt
Filed under: uncultured bacterium
Lineage: Bacteria
Description: partial 16S ribosomal RNA
Rfam family: Bacterial small subunit ribosomal RNA
Source: RNAcentral
GAUGAACGCUGGCGGCGUGCCUAAUACAUGCAAGUCGAGCGAACGGACGAGAAGCUUGCUUUUCUGAUGUUAGCGGCGGACGGGUGAGUAACACGUGGAUAACCUACCUAUAAGACUGGGAUAACUUCGGGAAACCGGAGCUAAUACCGGAUAAUAUUUUGAACCGCAUGGUUCAAAAGUGAAAGACGGUCUUGCUGUCACUUAUAGAUGGAUCGCGCUGCAUUAGCUAGUUGGUAAGGUAACGGCUUACCAAGGCAACGAUGCAUAGCCGACCUGAGAGGGUGAUCGGCCACACUGGAACUGAGACACGGUCCAGACUCCUACGGGAGGCAGCAGUAGGGAAUCUUCCGCAAUGGGCGAAAGCCUGACGGAGCAACGCCGCGUGAGUGAUGAAGGUCUUCGGAUCGUAAAACUCUGUUAUUAGGGAAGAACAUAUGUGUAAGUAACUGUGCACAUCUUGACGGUACCUAAUCAGAAAGCCACGGCUAACUACGUG